RNAcentral lists this ribosomal RNA (480 nucleotides) under uncultured bacterium. Its description in RNAcentral is "partial 16S ribosomal RNA". It matches the Rfam family "Bacterial small subunit ribosomal RNA", at positions 28 to 507 of the family's 1533-position model. The record is from RNAcentral.
GACGAACGCUGGCGGCGCGCUUAACACAUGCAAGUCGAGCGAUGAAACUUUAACAGAACCCUUCGGGGCGAAGAUAAAGUGGAUUAGCGGCGGACGGGUGAGUAACACGUGAGUAACCUGCCUUAGACAUUGGGAUAGCCUCGGGAAACCGGGAUUAAUACCAAAUAAAAUCAUAAUGACACAUGUCAUAACGAUCAAAACUCCGGUGGUCUAAGAUGGACUCGCGUCCCAUUAGCUAGUUGGUAGAGUAAAAGCCUACCAAGGCGACGAGGGGUAGCCGGCCGGGGGGGGGGAACGCCAACUAGGGAAAUGAGAACCGGCCCAAACUCCUACGGGAGGAGGCGGGGGGGAAUAUGCCAAAGGGGGGGAAACUCGGAUGAGCCGACGCGGGGGAAAGAAAAAGGGUUUGCGAUACGAAAAUUUUUUUUUUAUGGAAAAAAAAGGACGUUCCCAAAAAAAAAAGCCCCGGCUAACUCCGUC